UCUGGUUACUGGAGCGACUCGGUCCCACCCUUUCCCAUCCCGAACAAGGAAGUGAAACGAGUCAGCGCCGAUGAUACUAGCCCAUAACGGGCAGGGAAAGUAGGUCGUAGCCAGGG
This 116-nucleotide ribosomal RNA is filed under the name Candidatus Roizmanbacteria bacterium RIFCSPHIGHO2_01_FULL_39_12c. Lineage: Bacteria; Candidatus Roizmaniibacteriota. RNAcentral also lists the same sequence under 1 other name. The record is from RNAcentral.